CCUUCGAUGUCGGCUCUUCCUAUCAUUGCGAAGCAGAAUUCGCCAAGCGUUGGAUUGUUCACCCACCAACACGGAACGUGAGCUGGGGUUAGACCGUCGUGAGACAGGUU
Molecule: ribosomal RNA, 110 nt
Filed under: Lottia gigantea (owl limpet)
Lineage: Eukaryota; Metazoa; Mollusca; Gastropoda; Lottiidae
Description: eukaryotic large subunit ribosomal RNA
Rfam family: Eukaryotic large subunit ribosomal RNA
Source: RNAcentral